This 316-nucleotide ribosomal RNA is filed under the name TM7 phylum sp. oral taxon 351. Its description in RNAcentral is "bacterial SSU rRNA". It matches the Rfam family "Bacterial small subunit ribosomal RNA", at positions 1206 to 1533 of the family's 1533-position model. Lineage: Bacteria; Candidatus Saccharimonadota. The record is from RNAcentral.
GCCUUGGGCUAGAAUCGCGCUACAAUGGCUGGUACAAUGCGAAGCGAAGCAGUGAUGUGAAGCAAAUCGCACCAAAGCCAGUCCCAGUUCGGAUAGAAGGCUGAAACUCGCCUUCUUGAAGUCGGAAUCGCUAGUAAUCGCAGAUCAGCAUGUUGCGGUGAAUACGUUCCCGGGUCUUGUACACACCGCCCGUCAAACCAUGAGAGUCACCAACACCCGAAGUCCGCCUCGGCGGCCUAAGGUGGGGGAGAUGAUUGGGGUUAAGUCGUAACAAGGCAUCGGUACGAGAACGUGUCGAUGGAUUACCUCCUUUCUA